CAGUCGCCGCGGUAAAACGGAGGGCGCGAGCGUUACCCGGAUUUACUGGGCGUAAAGGGCGUGUAGGCGGCCUGGGGCGUCCCAUGUGAAAGGCCACGGCUCAACCGUGGAGGAGCGUGGGAUACGCUCAGGCUAGAGGGUGGGAGAGGGUGGUGGAAUUCCCGGAGUAGCGGUGAAAUGCGCAGAUACCGGGAGGAACGCCGAUGGCGAAGGCAGCCACCUGGUCCACUUCUGACGCUGAGGCGCGAAAGCGUGGGGAGCAGACCGGAUUAGAUACCCCCGUAGUCCCUGUCUCUUAUAC
RNAcentral lists this ribosomal RNA (301 nucleotides) under uncultured bacterium. Its description in RNAcentral is "partial 16S ribosomal RNA". It matches the Rfam family "Bacterial small subunit ribosomal RNA", at positions 509 to 807 of the family's 1533-position model. The record is from RNAcentral.